Long non-coding RNA from Arvicola amphibius (Eurasian water vole), 1597 nucleotides. RefSeq lists it as uncharacterized. The record is from RefSeq and is a predicted model, not a curated record. The transcript has 2 exons. Lineage: Eukaryota; Metazoa; Chordata; Mammalia; Rodentia; Cricetidae.
CUGAGGUGUUUCCCACUCUUCAACCCCUCUUGCCAGAGUUCUGGACCCAGGAAAACCCCCUGCUUAUUACAACGUCAUGACAAAACGAUGUCAAUUGAGUCAGAGGGGCCGAUGUUUGCCCACACAAUAAUGAUUUUGUACAACAGACGAAGUCCUUCGGUCCUCAAGGGAAAUAUAAUUUCCUGACCCCAGGGGAGUCCAUGAUUUAUUUUGGGCUGAACUUUCCUGAAGCUGAGUCUUAGGAUGUGAGUCUCAUCCUGCUGGUAUCCUGCCACACGGCUGUGUGACUGCUGCUCUUCCAGGGACGCCACAGGGCCCAGAGGAUGUCGACCUCUCUGUAUGGCGCAGACAGGGAUGACCAGCUUACAGCUCAGAUGGAAAUGUGCCCCAGAGGAAAGCCUGCGUGGCCUAGUCGUCAAAACUAUGAACAACAGCCGAAGUAAAGCUUGUCAAUUUCAUCAAUUAUGUGUGCCAAGGACUGACGUGGCUCAGAGUUUCCAAAGUCUGAGUGAUUUGUGACCAUUAGUAACUCAGACACUGGGAGAUUCAAGCGGUCAGCCAGUGCUGGGAAUUUUCUCAUUUCAGGAAAUCUUGGCAGUGAGGCAGGCGUGCUAGAACCUCAGCAACUGGAGUGCUGGGAGGCAGAAAAUCAGACAGGCAGGAAGUGAGUGUGGGAACAGACAGAAACAUGACGUGCCGUGUGAGCUUUCACGCUGGACAGCUCUAUGUGGAGUUCUUCCUCUCCAGCAACAGUUUCCUUGCUGACAAGUAGAGACGGUAAGAACUGUCGCUGGACAGUCUGCCGUGCCUGGUACAAGCCAUGGGCUCUGAAUACCAGGUCUCAUCCCCUUCUCAACCCGUGUCUCGGGGAGGCAAACUGAGACUUAACUAGUCCAGGCUGGGUCUGGUUUGGUGGACCUGAGAUUGUUACUGAAUCGUCAAAGCUAGGACUUGGAGUUCGAGGACUCUGAGGGGUGUGGUAAAGGACUCUUCAAAGUCAGCAACUGUACAAAAUGUUUUGGAUUCAGGCUGGGUCAUAUUAUAACAUGGAGCUGCUGUUCUCACAGUAUGGCCUGUGGUCCAUGGAGGGACCCAGAAAACUUCUAUGAGUCCAUCACUGAUCAGCAACUCAUACAACUCCUAUUUGCACUUUUUUUGGGGGAGGGAGGAAGGUGAUGUUUGAAGUGAUAUUGUAAAAACAACCAAAGGUAAAACCAUUACGUUUAGUUUGAAUCAAAGUAAUGGUAUUAUCCUGGAGAGUUGGUUAAGGGUGUGUUCUUGCUUUACCAGAGAGUUCGAGUUUGGAUCCUAGCACCUAUGUUGGGUUACUCACAACCAUCUGUAACUGCAGUUCCAGGGGAUCUGAUGCCCUCUGCUGGACUCUGUGGGCACCUGCACUCCUUUAUGCACAAACCUACAUGCAGAGACACAUUUCAUGUAUAAUUUAAAAUAGAUCUUUUAAAAAAUGUACUGGGAGAAAGGUGUUGCCUGCAGGGAUAGUUACCAGGUCACCACAAUCGCUGAACUGCCACACUGAUUUCUGUGACAAAAUGGCAAAUAUAUAUUUAUAAUAAAGUAUUGACUACAAAAGACAAAA